GACAGAGGAUGCAAGCGUUAUCCGGAAUGAUUGGGCGUAAAGCGUCUGUAGGUGGCUUUUUAAGUCUGCCGUCAAAUCCCAGGGCUUAACCCUGGACAGGCGGUGGAAACUACCAAGCUGGAGUACGGUAGGGGCAGAGGGAAUUUCCGGUGGAGCGGUGAAAUGCGUAGAGAUCGGAAAGAACACCAACGGCGAAGGCGGGUUGCUGGGCCGACACUGACGCUGAUGCGCGAAAGCCAGGGGAGCGAACGGG
Molecule: ribosomal RNA, 253 nt
Filed under: uncultured bacterium
Lineage: Bacteria
Description: partial 16S ribosomal RNA
Rfam family: Bacterial small subunit ribosomal RNA
Source: RNAcentral